RNAcentral lists this unclassified non-coding RNA (224 nucleotides) under Hevea brasiliensis (rubber tree). The record is from RNAcentral. Lineage: Eukaryota; Viridiplantae; Streptophyta; Magnoliopsida; Malpighiales; Euphorbiaceae.
GUUUUUAUAGAUUAAGCUGAAAGCUGAAUUCUCUUUGACAUGCUGUUCAAUGAGCUCAUUGCUAGAACUUUUGGAUUUGUGUGACUAAUCAUUAUUAGAUUAGCAAGCUGGAUAGUUUUUUGAACUUGCGGGAUUCUUCAUAAUUUUGAUCUUUUUGCACACUUGAAUACAUAAUUAUUCAUGUUAACAAAUUUUUUUGAAUGGAUUACACCAAGGAUCAGCUA